GUAGGUGGCAAGCGUUGUCUGGAAUUAUUGGGCGUAAAGCGCGCGCAGGCGGUUCUUUAAGUCUGAUGUGAAAGCCCACGGCUCAACCGUGGAGGGUCAUUGGAAACUGGAGAACUUGAGUACAGAAGAGGAAAGCGGAAUUCCACGUGUAGCGGUGAAAUGCGUAGAGAUGUGGAGGAACACCAGUGGCGAAGGCGGCUUUCUGGUCUGUAACUGACGCUGAGGCGCGAAAGCGUGGGGAGCAAACAGGAUUAGAUACCCUGGUAGUCCACGCCGUAAACGAUGAGUGCUAAGUGUUAGGGGGUUUCCGCCCCCCUUAGUGCUGCAGCUAACGCAUUAAGCACUCCGCCUGGGAGUACGGCCGCAAGGCUG
RNAcentral lists this ribosomal RNA (372 nucleotides) under uncultured organism. RNAcentral's name for it is "partial 16S ribosomal RNA". It matches the Rfam family "Bacterial small subunit ribosomal RNA", at positions 527 to 896 of the family's 1533-position model. The record is from RNAcentral.